UACAGAGGUCUCAAGCGUUUGUUCGGAUUCAUUGGGCGUAAAGGGUGCGUAGGCGGCGCGGUAAGUCGGGUGUGAAAUCUCGGAGCUUAACUCCGAAACUGCAUUCGAUACUGCCGUGCUUGAGGACUGGAGAGGAGACUGGAAUUUACGGUGUAGCGGUGAAAAUGCGUAGAUAUCGUAAGGAAGACCAGUGGCGAAGGCGGGGUCUCUGGACA
This 215-nucleotide ribosomal RNA is filed under the name uncultured bacterium. RNAcentral describes it as "partial 16S ribosomal RNA". It matches the Rfam family "Bacterial small subunit ribosomal RNA", at positions 524 to 735 of the family's 1533-position model. The record is from RNAcentral.